Molecule: long non-coding RNA, 613 nt
Organism: Onychostruthus taczanowskii (white-rumped snowfinch)
Lineage: Eukaryota; Metazoa; Chordata; Aves; Passeriformes; Passeridae
Exons: 3
Source: RefSeq, a predicted model, not a curated record
CGCCGUCGGCGACCUUCGGGCUCGGGGCCCAGAGAUGCCUGCAAGCCUCGGGCGCCGCCUCAGCCCGGGGACGCCAGUCCGGGCCGGGAGGAGCACGUGCUUCUGCCCAGUUCCUCGUUGGGGAUUUUCCUCCUCUCUUUUCCUUCCCGCCCCCCGCCCCCUAUUAAGGUGGUGUGUCACGCUGGUGAAGUGUGAAAUUGGUGAAGUCCAGAACAAAACCAGGCACCGUGGGCCGUGGAUGCCUGGCUGUGUGUGGAGCAGGGCCGUGCAGUACAGCCAGCUGUCCUCCCUCGGUAGUCAGGAGCUCCCGCCGCGGGACUACUUGGUGACCGUGUGGAGUUGACCUCACACGGGUGUGAAAGAGCCCUGCAAGGCUGUAUACUUGAAGGUCCAGGACCCAGACCCUGGAAGAUGCUGUUGCAUGUGAUUUGGAGUUCUCCUCCUUCUCUGCUUCCCUGCUGGCUCUGAAUGAUUUGUGACUGCAUUCCACAAAGGUCCAGUGUGACAAGAGCAGAAGAAUACAUUAAAAGGCUUUUUUAGAGAUUCCAGAUUUUACAGAUAUGGUCUUUAGAUCCAGUGAAGAGAAGAUAAUCAGUUGCUUCAAUGCAAAGUA